AUUGAACGCUGGCGGCAGGCCUAACACAUGCAAGUCGAACGAGUGGCGGACGGGUGAGUAAUGUCUGGGAAACUGGCUGAUGGAGGGGGAUAACUACUGGAAACGGUAGCUAAUACCGCGUACCAUAGGAUGUGCCCAAGUGGGAUUAGGUUGUUGGUGGGGUACCGGCUCACCAAGCCGACGAUCCCUAGCUGGUCUGAGAGGAUGACCAGCCACACGGGAACUGAGACACGGUCCAGACUCAUACGGGAGGAAGCAGUAGGGAAUAUUGGACAAUGGACGCAAGCCUGAUGCAGCCAGGCCGCGUGAAUGAAGAAGGUCUUCGGGUGGUAAAGGACUGUCUGUAGGGAAGCGUUACCUGCAGAAAAAGCACCGGCUAACUACGUGCCAGCAGCCGCGGUAAUAC
RNAcentral lists this ribosomal RNA (406 nucleotides) under uncultured bacterium. RNAcentral describes it as "partial 16S ribosomal RNA". It matches the Rfam family "Bacterial small subunit ribosomal RNA", at positions 30 to 526 of the family's 1533-position model. The record is from RNAcentral.